GUGGAUUAGAUACCCUGGUAGUCCUGGCAGUAAACGGUGCACGUUUGGUGUGGGAGGAUUCGACCCCUUCUGCGCCGGAGCUAACGCGUUAAACGUGCCGCCUGGGGAGUACGGUCGCAAGAUUAAAACUCAAAGAAAUUGACGGGGGCCCGCACAAGCGGUGGAGUAUGUGGCUUAAUUCGAUGCAACGCGAAGAACCUUACCUGGCCUUGACAUGCAUCUCUAAGUUGGUGAAAGCCAGCGAGUCUCGAAAGAGACAAUUUGCACAGGUGCUGCACGGCUGUCGUCAGCU
This 292-nucleotide ribosomal RNA is filed under the name uncultured bacterium. RNAcentral describes it as "partial 16S ribosomal RNA". It matches the Rfam family "Bacterial small subunit ribosomal RNA", at positions 773 to 1060 of the family's 1533-position model. The record is from RNAcentral.